GCUAGCGGCAGGCCUAAUACAUGCAAGUCGAGGGGUAACAGGAAGUGCUUGCACUUCGCUGACGACCGGCGCACGGGUGAGUAUCGCGUAUACAAUCUGCCUCAUACUAGGGAAUAGCCCGAAGAAAUUUGGAUUAAUGCCCUAUAGUAUCUUUUUAAGGCAUCUUAUUAAGAUUAAAGGUUACGGUAUGAGAUGAGUAUGCGUUCUAUUAGCUAGUAGGUGUGGUAAUGGCACACCUAGGCUACGAUAGAUAGGGGCCCUGAGAGGGGGAUCCCCCACACUGGUACUGAGACACGGACCAGACUCCUACGGGAGGCAGCAGUAAGGAAUAUUGGACAAUGGGCGAAAGCCUGAUCCAGCCAUGCCGCGUGCAGGAUGACUGCCCUAUGGGUUGUAAACUGCUUUUAUAUAGGAAGAAAAAUUUUCUCGUGAGAAAACUUGACGGUACUAUAAGAAUAAGGAUCGGCUAACUCCGUGCCAGCAGCCGCGGUAAUACGGAGGAUCCAAGCGUUAUCCGGAAUCAUUGGGUUUAAAGGGUCCGUAGGUGGACAAAUAAGUCAGAGGUGAAAUCCUGCAGCUCAACUGUAGAACUGCCUUUGAUACUGUUUGUCUUGAGUUAUUAUGAAGUGGUUAGAAUGUGUAGUGUAGCGGUGAAAUGCAUAGAUAUUACACAGAAUACCGAUUGCGAAGGCAGAUCACUAAUAAUUAACUGACACUGAGGGACGAAAGCGUGGGUAGCGAACAGGAUUAGAUACCCUGGUAGUCCACGCCGUAAACGAUGGUCACUAGCUGUUUGGACUUCGGUCUGAGUGGCUAAGCGAAAGUGAUAAGUGACCCACCUGGGGAGUAC
RNAcentral lists this ribosomal RNA (850 nucleotides) under uncultured Flavobacteriaceae bacterium. RNAcentral describes it as "bacterial SSU rRNA". It matches the Rfam family "Bacterial small subunit ribosomal RNA", at positions 35 to 883 of the family's 1533-position model. Lineage: Bacteria; Pseudomonadati; Bacteroidota; Flavobacteriia; Flavobacteriales; Flavobacteriaceae. The record is from RNAcentral.